Molecule: long non-coding RNA, 832 nt
Organism: Lotus japonicus
Lineage: Eukaryota; Viridiplantae; Streptophyta; Magnoliopsida; Fabales; Fabaceae
Exons: 3
Source: RefSeq, a predicted model, not a curated record
CCAUUUGCAAGGAGUACAAUCAAGAAGUUAGAGCUGCAAUAUAAGUAGAGAGAGCUGCACGGGACUUGCUCAAAUCAUAGCGUCAGGAAAUGGAUUCAGUUUUAUCUACAAUGAACUGAUUAAACAAUGCAAUUUCUACUGGAGACAUAGAUGGCAAGGUUUAUGUUUAUUUGGGGAUGUUGUGUCUAUCAAACUUCAUGCUGGCAAUGUUCUCGGAAAUGAUGUUGCAGCUUCUGAAUUCUAUAAAGACAAUAUCAUUUUCAAUUACAGUGGAGGCCAUGGACAUGGUGGUAAUUCACAGGAUGCUUGGGAGCAUUUAGGUCCAAAUGAACUUUCAUACUAGCAUUGGGGGGAAGUAGUUGAAACUGAAAGCAGAGGUCAUCCAACUGAUACUAAUACAUGUUUGCCUUUAGUCAAGUACAAAACUGGGAAAUAUCAACAUGGAAGCAAUGAAUCAUGUGUUAUUUACCGGGUGGACUAUGACACUGGUGAGUCCUUCACAGAUCUUUCAUGCAAACAUCUUUACCAUCCUUAGUGCAUUAACAAUUGGUUGAAAAUAAACAAGGUUUGCCAUGUUUGCAAUACUGAGGUAUCUACUUCUGGGAGCAACUUAUAGGAGAAUUCUGUAGUUCUCCCACUUCCUUCGCUUCAAAUUGAAGAAAAAUUGUGCAAGUUGGGUAUACCCUUAUUUUAGUAGCAUUGCUUUGUCAGUGUGAUAAUCAUUGUGCUUUACUGUAUCAAGCUCCUACGUUUUAAAUGUAACUUUAACUUUUGGAUUCAGCUCUCUAAGGUUGUCUCUUUUUAUUUUUUAAAUGGAAUGACGGGCAUUAGU